CCUACGGGAGGCAGCAGUGAGGAAUAUUGGUCAAUGGGCGUAAGCCUGAACCAGCCAAGUCGCGUGAGGGAUGAAGGUUCUAUGGAUCGUAAACCUCUUUUAUAAGGGAAUAAAGUGCGGGACGUGUCCCGUUUUGUAUGUACCUUAUGAAUAAGGAUCGGCUAACUCCGUGCCAGCAGCCGCGGUAAUACGGAGGAUCCGAGCGUUAUCCGGAUUUAUUGGGUUUAAAGGGUGCGUAGGCGGCCUUUUAAGUCAGCGGUGAAAGUCUGUGGCUCAACCAUAGAAUUGCCGUUGAAACUGGGAGUCGUGAGUAUGUUUGAGGCAGGCGGAAUGCGUGGUGUAGCGGUGAAAUGCUUAGAUAUCACGCAGAACUCCGAUUGCGAAGGCAGCAUACCGGCGCCCGACUGACGCUGAAGCACGAAAGCGUGGGUAUCGAACAGGAUUAGAUACCCUUGUAGUC
This 460-nucleotide ribosomal RNA is filed under the name uncultured bacterium. Its description in RNAcentral is "partial 16S ribosomal RNA". It matches the Rfam family "Bacterial small subunit ribosomal RNA", at positions 338 to 795 of the family's 1533-position model. The record is from RNAcentral.